Molecule: ribosomal RNA, 458 nt
Filed under: uncultured bacterium
Lineage: Bacteria
Description: bacterial SSU rRNA
Rfam family: Bacterial small subunit ribosomal RNA
Source: RNAcentral
GGGGAAUAUUGCACAAUGGGGGAAACCCUGAUGCAGCGACGCCGCGUGGAGGAAGAAGGUCUUCGGAUUGUAAACUCCUGUUGUUGGGGAAGAUAAUGACGGUACCCAACAAGGAAGUGACGGCUAACUACGUGCCAGCAGCCGCGGUAAAACGUAGGUCACAAGCGUUGUCCGGAAUUACUGGGUGUAAAGGGAGCGCAGGCGGGAAGACAAGUUGGAAGUGAAAUCUAUGGGCUCAACCCAUAAACUGCUUUCAAAACUGUUUUUCUUGAGUAGUGCAGAGGUAGGCGGAAUUCCCGGUGUAGCGGUGGAAUGCGUAGAUAUCGGGAGGAACACCAGUGGCGAAGGCGGCCUACUGGGCACCAACUGACGCUGAGGCUCGAAAGUGUGGGUAGCAAACAGGAUUAGAUACCCUGGUAGUCCACACCGUAAACGAUGAUUAUUAGGUGUUGGAGGAU